This 423-nucleotide ribosomal RNA is filed under the name Campylobacter gracilis. RNAcentral describes it as "bacterial SSU rRNA". It matches the Rfam family "Bacterial small subunit ribosomal RNA", at positions 29 to 449 of the family's 1533-position model. The record is from RNAcentral. Lineage: Bacteria; Pseudomonadati; Campylobacterota; Epsilonproteobacteria; Campylobacterales; Campylobacteraceae.
AGUGAACGCUGGCGGCGUGCCUAAUACAUGCAAGUCGAACGGAAUUUAAAAGGGCUUGCUCUUUUAAAUUUAGUGGCGCACGGGUGAGUAAUAUAUAGCUAAUCUGCCCCUUGCUGGAGGACAACAGUUAGAAAUGACUGCUAAUACUCCAUACUCCUUUUUACCAUAAGAUAAAUCGGGAAAGAAUUUCGGCAAGGGAUGAGACUAUAUCGUAUCAGCUAGUCGGUGGGGUAACGGCCUACCGAGGCUAUGACGCGUAACUGGUCUGAGAGGAUGAUCAGUCACAUUGGAACUGAGACACGGUCCAAACUCCUACGGGAGGCAGCAGUAGGGAAUAUUGCGCAAUGGGGGAAACCCUGACGCAGCAACGCCGCGUGGAGGAUGACACUUUUCGGAGCGUAAACUCCUUUUGUUAGGGAAGAA